Ailuropoda melanoleuca (giant panda) is the source of this 133-nucleotide small nucleolar RNA. The record is from Ensembl. Lineage: Eukaryota; Metazoa; Chordata; Mammalia; Carnivora; Ursidae.
CCUCUCUCAGCUCCGCUUAAUCAUACUGUGUGUGUGCUUGGCGUAUUUUCAGAGAGAGAGAGAGAGGAAGGCCCUCCUAAUGCACGGCAGACCGGCCCCAAGUGGCCUCUCUGUUCCUAGGAGCGCAACAUUC